CCACGUGUCUACUCCAUUAUCUUUCGCAAUCAAUUCCCCUGACCAUGGGCGGCCCACUACCAGGCAGUUACACACGUCGCCAUCAGUCCGUUGCCUCCCCCGCCUAUAAAAGGGGGGACUCAGAUACGUUAUUUUUUAAGCUCAUUUUUCUUAUCUCAAAACUCUGCUAAAUUCUCCGUUCGAGCACUCCAUUCUUGUUGAGGCAGAGAACUGACUUGAGCGUCGGAGGGUCUUGUCGGAGCAACCCCACCUCCGGUUUAGACUUCCCUUGCAGGUCCC
Molecule: long non-coding RNA, 279 nt
Filed under: Elaeis guineensis (African oil palm)
Lineage: Eukaryota; Viridiplantae; Streptophyta; Magnoliopsida; Arecales; Arecaceae
Description: long non-coding RNA (EGUI_LNC038050)
Source: RNAcentral